This is a long non-coding RNA of Hibiscus syriacus, 251 nucleotides long. RefSeq lists it as uncharacterized. The record is from RefSeq and is a predicted model, not a curated record. Lineage: Eukaryota; Viridiplantae; Streptophyta; Magnoliopsida; Malvales; Malvaceae. The transcript is spliced from 2 exons.
AGAGAAAGAGUGUAAGCAUAUUAAUGACCACCAAACAAAACUGCUAUGGAAACAGACAGACAGGUGUAAAGGUAAACAGGUAUGUAAUAUUUGCCAAAGAAUGAAUAGUCUUCCUCAUUCAGUUAAGAGGAGAACAAAAAACAUAAUAUGGCCAUACGUGUAGCUUAUGAAUAUGUUAUGUGCUGAUGGAGAACAAUCUAAUCAGCACAGGACCGUCCAUAAGCACAUUAAUAACAAAGAACAUGCAAGAU